GGGUACAUAGCUCAGUGGUGCAGUGCAUGCUUAGCAUGCACGAGGUCCUGGGUUCAAUCCCCAGUACUUCCA
RNAcentral lists this transfer RNA (72 nucleotides) under Camelus bactrianus (Bactrian camel). It matches the Rfam family "tRNA". From Rfam's summary of the family: Transfer RNA (tRNA) molecules are approximately 80 nucleotides in length. RNAcentral also lists the same sequence under 3 other names. The record is from Rfam by way of RNAcentral. Lineage: Eukaryota; Metazoa; Chordata; Mammalia; Artiodactyla; Camelidae.